Mustela erminea (ermine) is the source of this 500-nucleotide long non-coding RNA. RefSeq lists it as uncharacterized. The record is from RefSeq and is a predicted model, not a curated record. Lineage: Eukaryota; Metazoa; Chordata; Mammalia; Carnivora; Mustelidae. The transcript is spliced from 3 exons.
AGGCUCUGGUAAAUGAGGAAAAUAAUCAGUCUAUUUCCUGGAACUCCAGAAAUUACCUUAAGCUUUUGUAGCAGGUGAACUCAGGACUGGACUUGAAGGAUGGGGAACAUGCUAAUGAAUGUUUACAUCUAGUGCCAUUAGCCAUAGAUACCAAUCGAAAACCAUCACUACCUCUUACAUUUUCCAUGUAGUAUGGCUUCAUGCAGUGAUCUCAACAUACAUACAGAAUUCAGAGAUAAGUAGUUAUACUUCAGAUUGGACAAGGUCUUGUAGUGAAACAAUUUUAUAAAGUCCUUAUCUCUUUAUAUUGACUAUGAGGAAACACUCAGAGACGUUCUUUACUGACUUUGACUUUACUGGAGAUCAGCAAUUUGACUUUACUGGAGAUGAAGGUGUUUUUGUUUAGUAUGCCAGUAGUGAAUAUUCUGUAUUUCACAGUUUUCUGAUUAGCAGGGGGAAAAAUUAAUCUAGAGUAACUGAAUAAACAAUAUACUUUAUUU